RNAcentral lists this long non-coding RNA (276 nucleotides) under Hordeum vulgare. RNAcentral describes it as "long non-coding RNA (HVUL_LNC015392)". Lineage: Eukaryota; Viridiplantae; Streptophyta; Magnoliopsida; Poales; Poaceae. The record is from RNAcentral.
AUAUAUGCAUCCCCCAAAAUCCAACCGUUACAACAUUAUUGCCCAACUCGGUGACACCGAAAUGAAUCUUGGUGGUACCGAGGUGCACUAAAUGUGGCAACUUUUGAAUUCUCGGUGAGACCGAUAUAGAAAUCUCGGUGGUACCAAUAUGAUGACGUUGACCAGUUUCCAAAUCUUGGUGAGACUGAAUUGAAACUCGGAAAUUCUGAUUCAUGAAAUCUUCUCAACAAAAAGUUGGUCACUGAAUCUCGAUGGCAUCGAUAGGAAUGUUGGUGG